GGGUGAGUAACGCGUAUCCAACCUGCCCACCACUUGGGGAUAACCUUGCGAAAGUAAGACUAAUACCCAAUGACGUCUCUAGAAGGCAUCUGAAAGAGAUUAAAGAUUUAUCGGUGAUGGAUGGGGAUGCGUCUGAUUAGCUUGUUGGCGGGGUAACGGCCCACCAAGGCAACGAUCAGUAGGGGUUCUGAGAGGAAGGUCCCCCACAUUGGAACUGAGACACGGUCCAAACUCCUACGGGAGGCAGCAGUGAGGAAUAUUGGUCAAUGGACGAGAGUCUGAACCAGCCAAGUAGCGUGCAGGAAGACGGCCCUAUGGGUUGUAAACUGCUUUUAUAAGGGAAUAAAGUGAGUCUCGUGAGACUUUUUGCAUGUACCUUAUGAAUAAGGACCGGCUAAUUCCGUGCCAGCAGCCGCGGUAAUACGGAAGGUCCGGGCGUUAUCCGGAUUUAUUGGGUUUAAAGGGAGCGUAGGCCGGAGAUUAAGCGUGUUGUGAAAUGUAGACGCUCAACGUCUGCACUGCAGCGCGAACUGGUUUCCUUGAGUACGCACAAAGUGGGCGGAAUUCGUGGUGUAGCGGUGAAAUGCUUAGAUAUCACGAAGAACUCCGAUUGCGAAGGCAGCUCACUGGAGCGCAACUGACGCUGAAGCUCGAAAGUGCGGGUAUCGAACAGGAUUAGAUACCCUGGUAGUCCGCACGGUAAACGAUGGAUGCCCGCUGUUGGUCUGAAUAGGUCAGCGGCCAAG
This 746-nucleotide ribosomal RNA is filed under the name uncultured bacterium. RNAcentral's name for it is "bacterial SSU rRNA". It matches the Rfam family "Bacterial small subunit ribosomal RNA", at positions 104 to 851 of the family's 1533-position model. The record is from RNAcentral.